This 446-nucleotide ribosomal RNA is filed under the name uncultured bacterium. RNAcentral's name for it is "partial 16S ribosomal RNA". It matches the Rfam family "Bacterial small subunit ribosomal RNA", at positions 330 to 792 of the family's 1533-position model. The record is from RNAcentral.
GCCAGACUCCUACGGGAGGCAGCAGUGGGGGAUAUUGCACAAUGGGGGGAACCCUGAUGCAGCGACGCCGCGUGGGUGAAGAAGCGCCUCGGCGCGUAAAGCCCUAUCGGCAGGGAAGAAGGAGGACGGUACCUGACUAAGAAGCCCCGGCUAACUACGUGCCAGCAGCCGCGGUAAUACGUAGGGGGCAAGCGUUAUCCGGAUUUACUGGGUGUAAAGGGGGCGCAGACGGCAGCGCAAGCCAGGAGUGAAAGCCCGGGGCCCAACCCCGGGACUGCUCUUGGAACUGCGUGGCUGGAGUGCAGGAGGGGCAGGCGGAAUUCCUGGUGUAGCGGUGAAAUGCGUAGAUAUCAGGAGGAACACCGGUGGCGAAGGCGGCCUGCUGGACUGCAACUGACGUUGAGGCCCGAAAGCGUGGGGAGCAAACAGGAUUAGAUACCCGAGUA